CGCACCAGGCGGCAGUUGGAAAAAAGAAGUUCGCUCACAAAAUCUUUCGCGCCACCGGUCAUUGCACAAGCAAACGGAAGCAGCAUCGAAAACAGCAAAAAUUCUCACUGGUUGUAACUACAGGAAUAACCCGAAAGGAGCGAACUCUGAUGUUUGAACCAGUUCUUCAUAGGAUCCCCCGUAAUCAGUAUUGAUAUUUUGCCCGCAGAACCUUCUGGCUGGAAGUGAACUGGAGAUAGACAUGCCGAAAAAUUUGUUCCGGGUUCAAUGACAUAAGUGUCCCCGGAUGAUGAGAUUUGAAAAAAAAGUUCCCCCGCGAAAUACUUCCAGCACCGUGGGUCGAAGGAAUCAGUGUGACGUGGAAAAAAAAUAAUACAAUGGCAACAUCUGCAAUGCAACGCAACGAGAAGCUGUGACAAACCUGGGUCGAAACUGGAGGGAUCUGUUUUUGAAGUUUGGAUCGUCGCCAGAUUGACUAUUCAGUCUUUUUCGUGGGUGAGAUGGGACAAAAAUGUUAACAUGAGGUGCCCUUAAACAACAAAGAAUGUUAUCGAAAGUGGACUUGAUGAUUAAAGAACCAACAAUGGAAACAUCACCUUCGACUAAACAGGAACGAUAUUUUCCGCACUAUUAACGGGAUAUUAAAACCCUUUUAUCGCCUUGUUCCCUUCCGGCUAAGGUUGACACAAAAAAGUUGCCAACAAAUUAAGAAACUGGAGCCAGUCGUGCAGAUAAAUCCAGGAGCUGGAAACGUUUGGUGGCCAAAUUCAUGAAAUCCAGAAAGUUUUGAUAAAGCGGUUCAGUUAUCGCCGUAAGGAGCAAGAAUCUGGCAAAAUGACUGCCCCUAGUCAUAGCGGCAACGAACAAAGCCCUCGGCACCGGCAUUUUCCAGAAGUUGCGGGAUCUUGCCACAUCGGCAGGUCGCCUCUUCAGAGUCCGGCCAAGAAGAUAAUACGCGUGGGAACGCUUUCGACAAAUGAUGGUGCGGGUGGCUGCGUCGGAAGCAGUAUUGGAAGAAUGAAUGGGAGCCUUGGGCUAACUUCCGCAAUUGAUUCAAACAGUACCAAAGGUGGCGAUCCCGGGUUGGAUCACUUCCCAAAGAAACGUAAAGAUGAUUUAGCAAGAUCUGAUAACACAAUAUCAUAAUAUAAUAAGUAAAAAAAUAGGACAGAUAGAAGAAAAUGAUACACAAUUUCGAAUUGGAAUUUCGUAUUCAGUGUAGGUACUAUUAACACAUUUGCUUUAACACUAGUUAACUGCUUUAGUAUCAACCCGUAAACAUCAAUUAUUUAUUUAAACCAAGAACGAAAGAAUUUAGUUAUUUGAAACAAAAAAAAACGAAACAGAAUCGAACUCAACUACGCGGAAUAGCAGCGUCUAGAAGUAAGUGAAAGAGAAAGCGGAGUUGGAAAUGUGUAAACAAAGAAUUGUACAGAAACUUGUAGGGAUUUUAAUGAAAAGUCAAAAACAAAGAUUAAAAGAGAAACUUGUUAUUUAAAUCUGAAGUAGAAAAUCUAUCAGCACCAAGUGCCUAAAGGAACAAAUGACAAUAUUUUUUCAUACUAAAUAAAGUCACAAAAUAGAAUAACGCAAGUAGAAUUAUAGAAGAACAUGGAGUAGUACACUCAAUAAUCGAAUUCAAGUUUUGUAAUAUAAUCUGUUAUGUAAAAAUACAAUAAUC
This is a long non-coding RNA of Uranotaenia lowii, 1681 nucleotides long. RefSeq lists it as uncharacterized. The transcript is spliced from 5 exons. The record is from RefSeq and is a predicted model, not a curated record. NCBI's taxonomy places the organism in Eukaryota, Metazoa, Arthropoda, Insecta, Diptera, Culicidae.